This 253-nucleotide ribosomal RNA is filed under the name uncultured bacterium. RNAcentral describes it as "partial 16S ribosomal RNA". It matches the Rfam family "Bacterial small subunit ribosomal RNA", at positions 524 to 776 of the family's 1533-position model. The record is from RNAcentral.
UACGAAGGGUGCAAACGUUGCUCGGAAUCAUUGGGCGUAAAGCGCACGUAGGCGGUUUUGCAAGUCGGACGUGAAAUCCCUCAGCUCAACUGAGGAAGUGCAUCCGAAACUGCAAGGCUUGAGUACUGAAGAGGAUCGCGGAAUUCCCGGUGUAGAGGUGAAAUUCGUAGAUAUCGGGAGGAACACCAGUGGCGAAGGCGGCGAUCUGGGCAGAUACUGACGCUGAGGUGCGAAAGCGUGGGGAGCAAACAGG